Molecule: long non-coding RNA, 777 nt
Filed under: Setaria viridis
Lineage: Eukaryota; Viridiplantae; Streptophyta; Magnoliopsida; Poales; Poaceae
Description: long non-coding RNA (SVIR_LNC002922)
Source: RNAcentral
AUAAAUACCUAAAUUUUUAUUAUUUUUCUAGGGUGUAAAAAUUUUAAUGCAUAAAGGAAAAUAAAACAAGCCUAACAAAAUUGGUUUCACUACUUUUGGACACUCCUACAAAUUUCUGUGAUUUAAAUGGUGAAAUUCGGAUUUAAACUAAUUAUUCUAUAAAGGAAAUCUAAUUUUCCCGAAAAACACCCCUGGAAAACUUUUCUCACGCAGCUCGACUCUACCCUCUCUCACGCGCGCUGGGCCCACGGCGCGGACCCACCUUUUCUCCCGUUCCACAUACCCGCCGACCUUUUUCUCCCCCUGACGGGCCCCCUUGGGCCGUUUUCUUUUUCUCUUUUCUUUUCCCGAUCCGUUAUCAGCCCAACGGCCCUUUUCUUUUUCUUCUUUCUUUCGCGAGCGCGGCCUGCCUCCUACUGGGCCUCCGGCCCCCUUUUCCUCUACGGUCGACCGCGCCGGCUGCUUGGGCCUCCGACGCGCCAGCCCAACAAACGCUCGCGCCCCGGCCUUCUUCUUCCCCCUCUCUUUCCCACUGACGCGCGGGCCCAAAGCUCUAGACGCUUCUUCCUCCUCCCGCCAAAAUGCGCGCGCGCGACAGGGGGCGGCGCGACUCGCCAGCCGGCGCCCUACCGGCGGCGGGACUAGGCCAAGACAGCACCUCUAUACCUUCACGCACCCGCGCGCGGCAACAGCUCCUCGGGAGAUGGCCGGAGCCAUUCCCUCCACGGCGGCGGGCGGCGGCAUCUUCAGCCGGUCGCGGCUACGCACGACGACGGC